This 162-nucleotide transfer RNA is filed under the name Candidatus Bathyarchaeota archaeon. RNAcentral's name for it is "tRNA-OTHER". It matches the Rfam family "tRNA". From Rfam's summary of the family: Transfer RNA (tRNA) molecules are approximately 80 nucleotides in length. Their secondary structure includes four short double-helical elements and three loops (D, anti-codon, and T loops). The record is from RNAcentral. Lineage: Archaea; Thermoproteati; Candidatus Bathyarchaeota.
CGGGCGGUAGCUCAGCUUGGUAGAGCUUCCGAGCCCCUUAGCAACUCUAGGCGGCGGAGACGCUGUAGACGCCCACCCAUGGGUGGGCGUCGCUCAGCCUACCAAGCGUACAGGUAUGGUGCAGAAACCGGAGUGUCGCAGGUUCAAAUCCUGCCCGCCCGA